GUUCUGAUGAAGUUGGUUGUUCGGCUGUUAACCGAAGGGUUGCUAGUUCGAAUCUAGCCCGGGGAGCCA
RNAcentral lists this transfer RNA (69 nucleotides) under Acidobacteriota bacterium. RNAcentral's name for it is "Acidobacteria bacterium tRNA-Ser". The record is from RNAcentral. Lineage: Bacteria; Pseudomonadati; Acidobacteriota.